CUUACCUGGUCUUGACAUCCACGGAAGUUUUCAGAGAUGAGAAUGUGCCUUCGGGAACCGUGAGACAGGUGCUGCAUGGCUGUCGUCAGCUCGUGUUGUGAAAUGUUGGGUUAAGUCCCGCAACGAGCGCAACCCUUAUCCUUUGUUGCCAGCGGUCCGGCCGGGAACUCAAAGGAGACUGCCAGUGAUAAACUGGAGGAAGGUGGGGAUGACGUCAAGUCAUCAUGGCCCUUACGACCAGGGCUACACACGUGCUACAAUGGCGCAUACAAAGAGAAGCGACCUCGCGAGAGCAAGCGGACCUCAUAAAGUGCGUCGUAGUCCGGAUUGGAGUCUGCAACUCGACUCCAUGAAGUCGGAAUCGCUAGUAAUCGUGGAUCAGAAUGCCACGGUGAAUACGUUCCCGGGCCUUGUACACACCGCCCGUCACACCAUGGGAGUGGGUUGCAAAAGAAGUAGGUAGCUUAACCUUCGGGAGGGCGCUUACCACUUUGUGAUUCAUGACUGGGGUGAAGUCGUAACAAGGUAACCGUAGGGGAACCUGCGGUUGGAUCAC
This 556-nucleotide ribosomal RNA is filed under the name Escherichia coli. Its description in RNAcentral is "bacterial SSU rRNA". It matches the Rfam family "Bacterial small subunit ribosomal RNA", at positions 970 to 1526 of the family's 1533-position model. The record is from RNAcentral. Lineage: Bacteria; Pseudomonadati; Pseudomonadota; Gammaproteobacteria; Enterobacterales; Enterobacteriaceae. RNAcentral also lists the same sequence under 1 other name.